CCUACGGGAGGCAGCAGUAGGGAAUCUUCCACAAUGGACGAAAGUCUGAUGGCGCAACGCCGCGUGAGUGAAGAAGGGUUUCGGCUCGUAAAGCUCUGUUGGUAGUGAAGAAAGAUAGAGGUAGUAACUGGCCUUUAUUUGACGGUAAUUACUUAGAAAUUCACGGCUAACUACGUGCCAGCAGCCUCGGUAAUACGUAGGUUGCAAGCGUUGUCCGGAUUUAUUGGGCGUAAAGCGAGUGCAGGCGGUUAAAUAAGUCUGAUGUGAAAGCCUUCGGCUCAACCGGAGAAUUGCAUCAGAAAAUGUUGAACUUGAGUGCAGAAGAGGGGAGUGGAACUCCAUGGGUAGCGGGGGAAUGCGUAGAUAUAUGGAAGAACACCAGGGGCGAAGGCGGCGCUAUGGUCUGCAACUGACGCUGAGGCUCGAAAGCAUGGGUAGCGAACAGGAUUAGAUACCCUUGUAGUC
This 465-nucleotide ribosomal RNA is filed under the name uncultured bacterium. RNAcentral's name for it is "partial 16S ribosomal RNA". It matches the Rfam family "Bacterial small subunit ribosomal RNA", at positions 338 to 795 of the family's 1533-position model. The record is from RNAcentral.